Triticum aestivum (bread wheat) is the source of this 113-nucleotide non-coding RNA. The record is from Rfam. NCBI's taxonomy places the organism in Eukaryota, Viridiplantae, Streptophyta, Magnoliopsida, Poales, Poaceae.
UUCAUACUCCAUCCGUCCUGAAUUACUUGUGGCAAAAAGAUGUAUCUAGAACUAAAAUACAUCUAGAUACAUUCAUUUCUAUGACAAGUAAUUUCGGACGAAGGGAGUAUACA